CUAUUGAAUUCAUAUUUUUAGGGUAAGCUAAUCAAAAGACAAAAAAGAAGGCUUCAAAAAUAUAAAAUGUCCGGACACCUGACCCUACAUCCUACGAAACAGAUUACCACAUCUAACAGUUAGGCCUAUAAUCUGGAUCUGGAUGUGUACGAUGCAGGGCCCUCCUGGGCAUGAACGCAUCGGAUGAGCCUGAGAUCGGGGCUACUGGAAGAAGUCACUACGCAACAGAUUCAGGAAUUGCAGGAAAUGUCAUGAACGUGAUAAUCCAUUAGGACAAAUGGAAGCAAAGAAAGGGGACUACACCCAAACCAGACAAAGCUGCAGGCAAACACAUGUAUGGCAUAAAGAAAGUACCUUCCUGCAUCCCCAGAAAGUGAGGAUGAAGAAACGAUCAAUGCUCACAUCAAGAUGCUUCAGAAUGAAUCCAGAAAAACAAGACAGGACAGCUUGAUGAUAGACAAUCUACUAACUUAUGCCCAUAGGCGCAAGGGUAUCAUCAACAGCAACUGGACUGAAUCCUACUUGAAGGAUAUGUACCCUUACCUUUUCCAUGAAGAUGAGAGUUUGAGAGACUGUCAGAGGACCCAACUAAGCAGAAGUUGGAAGCAGGACAUUUGAAUAUGCUGAUCCAUUACUAGAGAUAUGCAAGACUCCCAAGCAAGGUUUGGAGCUCAAAAACCUGAUCUUGGCUGCAGCAGCAGAAAAUGAAGACACCAGGAAAAUGAUCAAAUCAUGUGGAGCACUUCUGUUGAUUCCUACUAUUUUUGGAGAGAAGGCAUUGCUUUGUCAGCAUAGCCAGGAUAAAAAACGGACCAAUCGCCAAAAUCAUCUA
Molecule: long non-coding RNA, 832 nt
Organism: Lytechinus variegatus (green sea urchin)
Lineage: Eukaryota; Metazoa; Echinodermata; Echinoidea; Temnopleuroida; Toxopneustidae
Exons: 5
Source: RefSeq, a predicted model, not a curated record